GGCCUGGGAGACACGGCAGAGAAAAGCUCUCAGCGACGAACAGACAGGACAAGGCACUUACAGGUGGAGCGGGAGGCAAAGAUCAAACAGACAAAACCGGGACGAAAAUUCCUGCGGUACGCUCCUCACCGUGUCUGCAUUGAUGGUGGCGGCGACGCGAGUGAGCGCAAUGGUAUACAGUAUGAGACUCUACUCGCUAAGGACAAGCCUCUGCUGGUAUCAUCAAUGCUUUAACGCGAUUUAAUCGUGCUCGCCUUUGACACUACACUCAUGCUCGCCAGCUUUGCGUUUUUGCAGGGAUAUCGCGUGUAUCAAAGGAGAGCGAGAUGCUACUCUUCCAUUGCCACUGGGGAAGUAUUACACGAGAAGGUACGCUUGCUGCCACUUCGUAGAGUUUUUCCAUGGUCGCUUUCGUAGUGUUGUUUUGCUUGCUUGGUCGGGCUUAAAGUGAGAGAUCCAUUGCUUUGUCUUGAAGUCUCUGGCGCAGAGAGCUUUGCUCACCCCGGCUUUGACUGCAGUGCACACAAAGCUCCAUCCAGAUCUAACGCUUUUCUCAGAGACUUCACUUUUCCUCUCUGCAGCUUUCUUUCGCUCUUUCUGAAUCCGGCCCGUCGGUGCUGAAGCUUCACGUGACUUCCACUUCUCAUUCAUACGAAUGGAUUCUUUCUCGCGAUAACGGAAUGCGGUUGUCUCGGGUGUCUGCAAAGGCAAUGUUUUGAGAGUCCAGCGAAAUAGCAGGGAAAAAGAGAGAGGAGAGUUACUUACGUCUGAAGGUCUUGGUGCUACUGGUUGCAGCCCAGAGGUCGCCCCACCGGACCUUUUUCGCUUCCUUGUGAAGAACCCGGUGCUUGGCGCGUGUCACGGUGAGACGAUCAAAGCUACCGGACGAGCCGUCCGGCGACGUCGAGCGGCAAACAUCCAAGGUGACGUGUUUGCCUCGCCGGAAUGGCUUGAAAAUCACGCGGCCCCAGCCACUGCUCAUGUUUGCCGCCGUCUCCUUGCAUUCGUCGUCGUCACCCUCUUGUUCUUCGAUUUGGUCUUCGUUCUCGUCCUCGCGUGGUUCUUCCUCCAAUUUAGUUUCGAUGUCUGGCGGAAAUUUCUGUUAGAUUGAAAGACCAACCUGAGUUCUCACCACCUUCAUCGUCGUCUCUGGUCUCUCUAUCUUCGUCGUUUUCAUCCUCUAAGUACUCUUCCUCUUCUUCAUCCUCGUCUUCCUCAUAGUCUACAAGUAGGUCGUUUUCUACUGGCUCGUCUUUAUCCAGCUGCAGCUCCACAUGAUCUAGUGGCCAAUCCAC
Molecule: long non-coding RNA, 1295 nt
Filed under: Selaginella moellendorffii
Lineage: Eukaryota; Viridiplantae; Streptophyta; Lycopodiopsida; Selaginellales; Selaginellaceae
Description: long non-coding RNA (SMOE_LNC000529)
Source: RNAcentral